This 468-nucleotide ribosomal RNA is filed under the name uncultured bacterium. RNAcentral describes it as "partial 16S ribosomal RNA". It matches the Rfam family "Bacterial small subunit ribosomal RNA", at positions 28 to 507 of the family's 1533-position model. The record is from RNAcentral.
GACGAACGCUGGCGGCGGGCUUAACACAUGCAAGUCGAACGGAAGGGCCCUACUUGUUUGGUGUUCUCGGGUGGCGAACGGGUGAGUAACACGUGAGUAACCGACCCUUGACUUUGGUGUAACUUCAGGAAACUAGGGCUAAUACCGUAUAGCAUCUCCUGCUGCAUGGUGGGGAUUGGAAAUUUUCGGCGGUUGGGGAUGGACUCGCGGCUUAUCAGCUUGUUGGUGGGGUAGUGGCUUACCAAGGCUUUGACGGGUAGCCGGCCUGAGAGGGUGACCGGGCACAUUGGGACUGAGGUAGGGACCAGACUCGUACGGGAGGCAGUAGUGGCGAAUCUUGCACAAUGGGAGGAAGUCUGAUGAAGAAACGCCGCGUGCGGGAUGACGGUCUUCGGGUUGUAAACAGCUUUCGCUUGUGACGAAGCGUGAGUGACGGUAAUGGGUAAAGAAGCACCGGCUAACUACGUG